RNAcentral lists this ribosomal RNA (76 nucleotides) under uncultured bacterium. Its description in RNAcentral is "partial 16S ribosomal RNA". The record is from RNAcentral.
ACUAAUACUUGACUGUUUUGACGUUACCGACAGAAUAAGCACCGGCUAACUUCGUGCCAGCAGCCGCGGUAAUACG